RNAcentral lists this transfer RNA (72 nucleotides) under Sus scrofa (pig). It matches the Rfam family "tRNA". Rfam says of the family: Transfer RNA (tRNA) molecules are approximately 80 nucleotides in length. Their secondary structure includes four short double-helical elements and three loops (D, anti-codon, and T loops). Lineage: Eukaryota; Metazoa; Chordata; Mammalia; Artiodactyla; Suidae. The record is from Rfam by way of RNAcentral.
UUCCUGGUAGCUUAGUGGUUAGGACUCAGCAUUGUCAUUGCUGAGGCCUAGGUUCAGUCCCUGGUCUGGGAA